Molecule: ribosomal RNA, 3281 nt
Filed under: Durio zibethinus
Lineage: Eukaryota; Viridiplantae; Streptophyta; Magnoliopsida; Malvales; Malvaceae
Description: eukaryotic LSU rRNA
Rfam family: Eukaryotic large subunit ribosomal RNA
Source: RNAcentral
UGACCCCAGGUCAGGCGGGAUCACCCGCUGAGUUUAAGCAUAUCAAUAAGUGGAGGAAAAGAAACUUAUCGGGAUUCCUCUAGUAACAACGAGCGAAUCAGAAAGAGCUCAACUUGAGAAUCAGGUGCCCCCGACGUCUGAAUUGUAGUCUGGCGAAGCGUCCUCAGCAUCGGACUAGGCCCAAGUCCUCUGGAAAGGAGCGCCAGAGAGGGUGAGAGCCCCGUUGUGCCCGGACCCUAUCGCACCACGAGGCGCUGUUCGUGAGUCAGGUUGUUUAGGAAUGUAGCCCUAAUCGGACGGUAAAUUUCGUCCAAGGUUAAAUACGAGCAAGAGACCGAUAGUGAACAAAUACCACGAGGGAAAGAUGAAAAGGACUUUGAAAAGAGAGUCAAAGAGUGCUUGGUAUUGUCAGGAAGGAAGCAGAUGGGGGUCGACGAUGCACCCCAGUCGGAUGUGGAAUGGCGAGAGCUAGUCCAUCGAUCGGCUCAGGGCGUGGACCGAUACGGGUCACGAUGGCAGUCCAAGCUCGGGAUUUCGAUGUGCCCACGGAGAUGUCAUCACCGCGAUAGUGGAAUACAACACACGUCGUCUCGGUGUGCCUCGACACCGGUGUGCUCCAGGCAUCGGCUUACGGGCUCCCCAUCUGGCCAGUCUUGAAACACGGACCAAGGAGUCUGACAUGCGUACGAGUCAAUAGGCCAGAAAACCUGUAAGAUGCAAGGAAGUUGAUUGAUGGGAUCCCUCAUGGGUGCACCGUCGAUCGACCUUGAUCUUUUGAGAAGGGUUUGAGUGCGAGCAUGCUCGUCGGGACCCGAAAGAUGGCAACUAUGCCUAAGCGGGGUAAAGCCAGAGGAAACUCUGGUGGAGGCCCACAGUGAUACUGACGUGCAAAUCGUUCAUCUGACUUGGGUAUAGGGGCGAAAGGCUAAUUGAACCGUCUAGUAGCUGGUUCCCUCUGAAGUUUCCCUCAGGAUAACUAAAGCCCCCGUCGAGUUCUAUCGAGUAAAGCCAAUGAUUAGAGGCAUCAGGGGCGCAACGCCCUCAACCUAUUCUCAAACUUUAAAUAGGUAGGACGACGCGACUGCUUCGUUGAGCCGCACCACAGAAUUGAGAGCUCCAAGUGGGCCAUUUUUGGUAAGUAGAACUGGUGAUACGGGAUGAACCAAAAGUCGGGUUAGCGUGCAGUUACGGUGCCCAACUGCACGCUAACCCAGAACCCACAAAGGGUGUUGGUCGAUUAAAACAGCAGGACGGUGGUCAUGGAAGUCAAAAUCUACUAAAAAGUGUGUAACAACUCACCUGCCGAAUCAACUAGCCCCGAAAAUGGAUGGCGCUUAAGCAUGCUACCUAUAUUUGGCUGUGGGGGCAAGGGCUUAAGCAUGAGUAGGAGGGUGCGAUGAUCGUCGUAAAACCUGGGGUGUGAGCCCGGGUGGAGCAACUAUCAGUGCAGAUUUUGGUGGUAGUAGCAAAUAUUCAAAUGAAAACUUUGAAGGCCGAAGAGGGGAAAGGUUCCAUGUGAACGACACUUGCACAUGGGUUAGUCGAUCCUAAAAGAUGGGGAAAGCCCAUCCGAAAGUACGUCCCGUGCCAGCUUCGAAAGAGAAUUAGGUUAAAAUUCUUGAACAGAGAUGCGACAACUGAUGACAACGUUAGGGAGUCCAAAGACAUCGGUGGAGGCCUCGGGAAGAGUUAUCUUUUCUAUUUAACGGCCCACCCACCUUGGAAAUGGCUCAGCCAGAAGUAGUGUCCAGUGGCCAGAAGAGCACUGCACGUCACGUGGUGUCUGGUGCACCCCCGGUGGCCCUUGAAAAUUUGAAAGACUGAGUGUCAUCCGCGCCCGAUCGUACUCAUAACCACAUCAAGUCUCCAAGGUGAACAGCCUCUGUCGGUGGAACAAUGUAGGCAAAGAAAGUUGACAAAAUGGAUCCGUAACCUCAAGAAAAGGAUUGGCUUUGAGGGCUGGGCAUGGGGGUCCAGUCCUAAACCCGUCGACUAUCGAUACACUGCUCGAGCUGCUCCCAUGGUGAGAGUGGGUCACCGGGUUACCGGUUGGGGGACGAACUGGAAACUGCUCCCUUGGGGGCCUUCCUCGGGUGACAAACAGUCGACUCAAAACUGGUAUGAAUAAGGGGAAUCUGACUGUUUAAUUAAAACAAAGCAUUGCGAUGGUCCUUGCAAAUGCUCACGUAAUGUGAUUUCUACCCAGUGCUCUGAAUGUCAAAGUGAAGAAAUUCAACCAAGCACGGGUAAACAGCGGGAGUAACUAUGACUCUCUUAAGGUAGCCAAAUGCCUCGUCAUCUAAUUAGUGAUGCACAUGAAUGGAUUAGCGAGAUUCCCACUGUCCCUGUCUACUAUCCCGCGAAACCAUAACUAAGAGAACGGGCUUGGUGGAAUCAGUGGGGAAAGAAGACCCUGUUGAGCUUGACUCUAGUUCGACUUUGUGGAAUGACUUGAGAGGUGUAGGAUAAGUGGGAGCCCCAGGGCAAAAUUAAAAUACCACUACUUUUAACGUUAUUUUACUUAUUCCAUGAAUCGGAGGUGGGGCACGACCUCUUCUUUUGGACCCAGGGUCGGCCUUAACCGAUCGAUCUGGGUGAAAGACAUUGUCAGGUGAAGAGUUUGGCUGGGGCGGUACAUCUGAUAAAAGAUAACGUAGGUGUCCUAAGAUGAGCUCAAUGAGAAUAGAAAUCUUGUGUGGAACAAAAGGGCAAAAGCUCAUUUGAUUCUAAUUUCCAGUACGAAUACAAAUCGUGAAAGCGUGGCCAUCUAUCCUUUAGACCUUUAGGAUUUGAAGCUAGAGGUGUCAGAAAAGUUACCACAUGGAUAACUGGCUUGUGGCAGCCAAGUGUUCAUAGCGAUGUUGCUUUUUGAUCCUUCGACGUCGGCUCUUCCUAUCAUUGUGAAGCAGAAUUCACUAAGUGUUGGAUUGUUCACCCACCAAUAGGGAACAUGAGCUGGGUUUACACCAUCAUGAGAUAGGUUAGUUUUACCCUACUGAUGGUGGCGUCACGAUAGUAAUUCAACCUAGUAUGAGAGGAACCGUUGAUUCACACAAUUGGUCAUCAUGCUUGGUUGAAAAGCCAGUGGCGUGAAGCUACCGUGUGUUGGAUUAUGAUUGAACGCCUCUAAGUCAAAAUUCGGGCUAAAAGUGAUGCGCGCGCCCGUCGCCCGAUUGUUGACCCGUAGUAGGGGCCCAUGGCCCCUAAGGGCACAUGUCAUAAGUGCAGCCCCCGGGGUGGAUGAGCUGCACGGGCCUCCUUGGAGCUCAAUUCCCAUCGAG